GACGAACGCUGGCGGCGUGCUUAACACAUGCAAGUCGAACGAUGAACCCGGAGCUUGCUCUGGGGGAUUAGUGGCGAACGGGUGAGUAACACGUGAGUAACCUGCCCUGGACUCUGGGAUAAGCGUUGGAGACGACGUCUAAUACCGGAUAGGACCUUGGAUCGCAUGAUCUGGGGUGGAAAGUUUUUUCGGUCUGGGAUGGACUCGCGGCCUAUCAGCUUGUUGGUGAGGUAAUGGCUCACCAAGGCGUCGACGGGUAGCCGGCCUGAGAGGGUGACCGGCCACACUGGGACUGAGACACGGCUCAGACUCCUACGGGAGGCAGCAGUAGGGAAUAUUGCACAAUGGGCGAAAGCCUGAUGCAGCAACGCCGCGUGCGGGAUGACGGCCUUCGGGUUGUAAACCGCUUUUAGUAGGGAAGAAGGGCUUCGGCUUGACGGUACCUGCAGAAAAAGGACCGGCUAACUACGUG
RNAcentral lists this ribosomal RNA (472 nucleotides) under uncultured bacterium. RNAcentral describes it as "partial 16S ribosomal RNA". It matches the Rfam family "Bacterial small subunit ribosomal RNA", at positions 28 to 507 of the family's 1533-position model. The record is from RNAcentral.